Molecule: ribosomal RNA, 274 nt
Filed under: uncultured bacterium
Lineage: Bacteria
Description: partial 16S ribosomal RNA
Rfam family: Bacterial small subunit ribosomal RNA
Source: RNAcentral
ACACGGGGGGAGCAAACGUUGUUCGGAUUCAUUGGGCGUAAAGAGCUCGUAGGCGGCUUCGUAAGUCAGAGGUGAAAGACCACGGCUCAACCGUGGAACCGCCUUUGAAACCACGAAGCUUGAGGCCCGGAGAGGAAAGCGGAAUUCCUGGAGUAGCGGUGAAAUGCGUAGAUAUCAGGAGGAACACCAGUGGCGAAGGCGGCUUUCUGGACGGGUACUGACGCUGAGGAGCGAAAGCUAGGGGAGCAAACAGGAUUAGAAACCCCAGUAGUCC